RNAcentral lists this ribosomal RNA (403 nucleotides) under uncultured bacterium. Its description in RNAcentral is "partial 16S ribosomal RNA". It matches the Rfam family "Bacterial small subunit ribosomal RNA", at positions 28 to 526 of the family's 1533-position model. The record is from RNAcentral.
GACGAACGCUGGCGGCGUGCCUAAUACAUGCAAGUCGAACGCAGUGGGGACGGGUGAGUAACACGUGGGUAACCUCCCAUCAGAGGGGAUAACACUUGGAAACAGGUGCUAAACCGAUACUGAUGGAUGGCCCCGCGGUGCAUUCGCUAGUUGGUGAGGUACCGGCUCACCAAGGCCACGAUGCAUAGCCGACGUGAGGGGGUGAUCGGCCAAACUGGGACUGAGACACGGCCAAGACGCCAACGGGAGGCAGCAGGAGGGAAUCUUCGGCAAUGGACGAAAGGCGGACCGAGAAACGCCGCGGGAGUGAAGAAGGUGUUCGGAUCGUAAAACUAUGUUGUUAGAGAAGCGGUAUCUAACCAGAAAGCCACGGCUAACUACGUGCCAGCCGCCGCGGUAAUUC